RNAcentral lists this ribosomal RNA (253 nucleotides) under uncultured bacterium. Its description in RNAcentral is "partial 16S ribosomal RNA". It matches the Rfam family "Bacterial small subunit ribosomal RNA", at positions 524 to 776 of the family's 1533-position model. The record is from RNAcentral.
UACGAAGGGGGCUAGCGUUGUUCGGAAUUACUGGGCGUAAAGCGCACGUAGGCGGCUUUUUAAGUCAGGGGUGAAAUCCCGGGGCUCAACCCCGGAACUGCCUUUGAUACUGGGUAUCUCGAGUCCGAGAGAGGUGAGUGGAAUUCCGAGUGUAGAGGUGAAAUUCGUAGAUAUUCGGAGGAACACCAGUGGCGAAGGCGGCUCACUGGCUCGGUACUGACGCUGAGGUGCGAAAGCGUGGGGAGCAAACAGG